RNAcentral lists this transfer RNA (73 nucleotides) under Operophtera brumata (winter moth). It matches the Rfam family "tRNA". From Rfam's summary of the family: Transfer RNA (tRNA) molecules are approximately 80 nucleotides in length. Their secondary structure includes four short double-helical elements and three loops (D, anti-codon, and T loops). Lineage: Eukaryota; Metazoa; Arthropoda; Insecta; Lepidoptera; Geometridae. The record is from Rfam by way of RNAcentral.
UGACCGGUGGUGCAUUGGUUAGCACAUCUCCGUAACUAGGGGACGGUUGCGGGUUCUAUUCCCGCCUGGCUGG